CUAAAUCCUCCACCACUCCAUAUUAUACGUUUUUCCAUUGUUUUCUCCAUAUAUACAAUCAGAGAAGACAAAGGCAAGGGAACAUAAAAAAACAGUAAUGAUGACGAAAACACCAAAGCGACAAAGCAUCAUUGAUUUUUAAUGUGUUUUAAACUCUCUCACUUUCAAAGUUUAGAACAUAUUCGGAUAAUUUUUCAUAGUCUCAUCUGAUUGAUCGCAAUCGAUCGUGGUUGGAAUAUAUCCUGCAAUUUGUUUCUUUCUAUUCUCCACUCCAUAGUUUCUCUCCUCCACAAAACAACCUUUUCAUUAGUUCCAAAACAAGUAAAAUGCUUUGCCGGAGUUCAGUCAGAGAAUAUCCAUCCGAUGACACGUCUCCAUCUUCUUACUCAUGUUUAUGCCGAUGUCUCAGCCUCAUUGAUGUUUUCAGUGAAGAAGCAUAAGAAAACAGAAGCAGUAACAACAAAUUGGUGACAUAAUUAACUGGGUAUUGUACCAACUUAUUAUUUCUUUCAUACCAUGAUCUUAAACGGUUUUUUUCGUUAAACUAGUUGAUUUUAAACCUUCUAUGCUUUUUUCUACGAUUAAUUACUUAAUAGGCCAAGAAUUAACACCAGAACAAGGGGGAAAAUUGAAGAAGCUAAAGUCAGAGAUGAAAAGAGGGGAUUGCUUGUUGAUGGGAAAGCAUCGGAAUUUUUAAACUAAAAUUGAUGGGUUGAAACGAUCGAUGAUGGUGGAUUGAAGCGGUGAAGCAUCUAUGAGGAUCGGCGGUGAGAUGUGUCUUUGCAGUCAUGGCGUGGUCGCCUCUCUUUUCGCAUCUGUCUUUGCAGAUCUAAGCCUCCUAGUUUCUCUAGUUAAUUACUUUUGGGCAAGCCACUAGAAUUGCUUUUGGACUAUAAAAUAUAUAUUAUAAUUUUUGGGCUAUCGGGUAAUAUAUGUUUGGGCUGAUAGGCUAUAAAUAAAUUUUGCUCUAUUGUUUAGGAGUGGCAAUUUGAGCUUAAAACCAUUCAAUUCGUCUAAUUCUCCUAGAAAUUAAUGGGUUGGACUACAAAUAUUUAAUUCUUGGGUCUAUUUUGGCUGAGCUCAAGUUAACCCAUUAUUUUUUAUAGCUCAUUCUGACUUGUUAAGUUGCUUAAAUACAACAAAUAAAGCAUCCAAAACAAAGAGAUCUCAACCCAUUAUCUAGAAAUAUAUUUAGUUGAUCCAAUUAUACUUUUUUUAUUUUGUAUUUUUUUGAUAUUCUACACUUCCCACACACCUUACCCC
RNAcentral lists this long non-coding RNA (1263 nucleotides) under Nicotiana benthamiana. Its description in RNAcentral is "long non-coding RNA (NBEN_LNC031625)". Lineage: Eukaryota; Viridiplantae; Streptophyta; Magnoliopsida; Solanales; Solanaceae. The record is from RNAcentral.